This 245-nucleotide ribosomal RNA is filed under the name uncultured bacterium. RNAcentral describes it as "partial 16S ribosomal RNA". It matches the Rfam family "Bacterial small subunit ribosomal RNA", at positions 88 to 334 of the family's 1533-position model. The record is from RNAcentral.
AUGGCGACCGGCGCACGGGCGAGUAACGCGUAUGCAACCUGCCCGAUACCGGGGUAUAGCCCAUGGAAACGUGGAUUAACACCCCAUAGUACUUUUAUCCUGCCUGGGAUGGGAGUUAAAUGUUCAAGGUAUCGGAUGGGCAUGCGUCCUAUUAGUUAGUUGGCGGGGUAACAGCCCACCAAGACGAUGAUAGGUAGGGGUUCUGAGAGGAAGGUCCCCCACAUUGGAACUGAGACACGGUCCAA